AAGUCGGGAUACUUUGAUUGGAAAUGCUUCCACGCUUUUGCAUCUGAAGGAUGUCUGAUCUCACCAUCUGUUGAGUGCUCCGCAUGCCAUCUCAUUGGUUGCGCUGUGCGUUCAGACAGAUACAACCUCUGCAACCUUUCCGUCAAAGUUAAAUACCACAUCCUUUUAUAUGGCACUGGAACUCUUCCAUUCGUAUCUUUAUAGCGAGGCUUUCCACAAAAUUUGCAUGUAACCCUAAAUACCACAUCCUUUUAUAUGGCACUGGAACUCUUCCACUCGUAUCUUUAUAACGAGGCUUUCCACAAAAUUUGCAUGUAACCUGCUGUUCAUCCGCCCUCCAAUAAAUCAUGCAGUUGUCGCUGCAUACAUCUAUUACCUGAUACGAUAAACCAAGACCAGCUACGAGUUUCUGAACCUCGUAGUAUGAACUAGGAGCUACAUUAUCAUCGGGUAGAAUACCUUUUACAAAAUCAGCAAUCGCAUCC
RNAcentral lists this long non-coding RNA (485 nucleotides) under Brassica napus (rape). RNAcentral's name for it is "long non-coding RNA (BNAP_LNC009466)". Lineage: Eukaryota; Viridiplantae; Streptophyta; Magnoliopsida; Brassicales; Brassicaceae. The record is from RNAcentral.